UCCAAAGUCAUCCCGUAUCACCACCCCACAGUUACUCACUGUCACAGCACAGCCUGUUUUCCUGGAUGAACACGUGUUCGUUAACAUGUCCCCCUAACUCUUCGGAGGGUUAAGGCAACUCCAGGGUUUGCAGCCUGGUCAGCAGUGAGGAUGGGGUGCGACUGCUGGAGGCUGAAAUUGGGGACAGAGGGGCCUCCGGCUCACUCUCCUGCACAGACGGGAGAUGGGUCUGUGACACCCUCCCAGCGGUGAGUCCCAGCUGUGGACAAAGGUCGCCUGCGGCUGUCAUCAUCCAGUGACCUCACCAGCACUCCUGUGAUCGUGCCCUUUGCUCAGUGACUCACCUGUUGUUACCCUGAGCUAUGGUAUAUGACUUUUAUUGUU
Molecule: long non-coding RNA, 384 nt
Organism: Lagenorhynchus albirostris (white-beaked dolphin)
Lineage: Eukaryota; Metazoa; Chordata; Mammalia; Artiodactyla; Delphinidae
Exons: 2
Source: RefSeq, a predicted model, not a curated record